RNAcentral lists this long non-coding RNA (668 nucleotides) under Gossypium raimondii (Peruvian cotton). RNAcentral's name for it is "long non-coding RNA (GRAI_LNC004017)". The record is from RNAcentral. Lineage: Eukaryota; Viridiplantae; Streptophyta; Magnoliopsida; Malvales; Malvaceae.
UGACGAGCCCUUCUCCUCUCGACUAGCUGAUUCUCUAAACUGGUUUCCCGCUGAUUGACUGGCGUGUGUUGGCUCACAAAAAUCCUCUAGCGAAUGACCGAACUAUACCUGCAAAAUAAUAGAAAAAGCUCUCCUCGUCUGCUGCUUCUUCUCCUCCUUUUAUGGAAAAAUAAAUCCUCCAAUAAUUCAAAAAAACUUGAUCUUAUCCCCUUAAUCUUAGCCUAACCCGUCGCAUAGCUUCUGCUUAGUAGAGUUUGACUUCGAUUAAACUCCUCAAGCCUGAUUUGGCUUCCUUAAUUCAAUUGGAGUCGGCCACCGCUUAGCAAGAAGGAAAUAAUAAUAAUUCCCUUGCUGUCCGUUUGUUCAUUCGGCCUGCUGCUUUUCUAUUGGACUGAAUUUUGUCCCAAUGUUAAUUUAAUUCCUUCAACCAGCAUAUGAUCGUCAUUCAGCAGCUUAAUUUAUGCGAAUUACCUUCCAAAUUGAGCUUAUACAGGCAUCAACCUGCACAUGAAAUAAAAUUAAAAUUAAAUUGUUGAAUUGGAGUGCAAUUAAAUUAUUACGGCAUAGAAUGUCUCUAAUCAAUUUAGGCUGAAUUAUAACUUAAUUAACCAAAAAAGUAAUCAACAAUUUAAAUAAUUUAAUUGAAUAAGUUAAGCUCAAAAUUGAAC